This 253-nucleotide ribosomal RNA is filed under the name uncultured bacterium. RNAcentral describes it as "partial 16S ribosomal RNA". It matches the Rfam family "Bacterial small subunit ribosomal RNA", at positions 524 to 776 of the family's 1533-position model. The record is from RNAcentral.
UACAGAGGUCUCAAGCGUUGUUCGGAUUCAUUGGGCGUAAAGGGUGCGUAGGCGGCGGCGUAAGUCGGGUGUGAAAUCUCGGGGCUUAACUCCGAAAUUGCAUUCGAUACUGCGGUGCUUGAGGACUGGAGAGGAGACUGGAAUUCACGGUGUAGCAGUGAAAUGCGUAGAUAUCGUGAGGAAGACCGGUGGCGAAGGCGGGUCUCUGGACAGUUCCUGACGCUGAGGCACGAAGGCCAGGGGAGCAAACGGG